RNAcentral lists this ribosomal RNA (253 nucleotides) under uncultured bacterium. Its description in RNAcentral is "partial 16S ribosomal RNA". It matches the Rfam family "Bacterial small subunit ribosomal RNA", at positions 524 to 776 of the family's 1533-position model. The record is from RNAcentral.
UACGGAGGGUGCAAACGUUGCUCGGAAUCAUUGGGCGUAAAGCGCACGUAGGCGGCCUGUUAAGUCGGAUGUGAAAGCCCCGGGCUCAACCCGGGAAGUGCAUACGAAACUGGCAGGCUUGAAUAUGGAAGAGGGUCGCGGAAUUCCCGGUGUAGAGGUGAAAUUCGUAGAUAUUCGGAAGAACACCAGUGGCGAAGGCGGCUCACUGGCCCGGUACUGACGCUGAGGUGCGAAAGCGUGGGGAGCAAACAGG